AGCGAGGGGGGGGGGGGGGGCGAGAGAGGGGGAAGAGAGAGAAAGAGAGAGAGAGGCCUCCUACAGUGUCAGUGUUCCAGGUUUUGUGUCUCUGUCUUUCUCUCGAGGCUGGUCUUGCUGUCAGAUGCUUCCAGAUGCCGGUCGGAUCCGUCAGACCUCCACAGCAUCAAAAAGCUGGGACAGGAUAACAAUGCCUACGAUGUUACAGACGAACCGACUUCCUACAUGACCAUGACUACGUCUCCGAAGGAUGACCAAGCUAAGAACAAGGCCCGAACACACCGGCCAUUUCGAACAUCGGUUUCUUUCAGCUGGU
Gadus macrocephalus (Pacific cod) is the source of this 316-nucleotide long non-coding RNA. RefSeq lists it as uncharacterized. Lineage: Eukaryota; Metazoa; Chordata; Actinopteri; Gadiformes; Gadidae. The transcript is spliced from 5 exons. The record is from RefSeq and is a predicted model, not a curated record.